AUUAUGGAAGUAAAAUUCAUAAGGCAGAGUAACAGAUAAGGCCUGAGGAGCACAGCAGAAUGAAUAAUUUGCUUGUGGGGCAAAGCAGUUGAGUUCAGAGGAUUCCGACUACAUUGCCCAGAGUGAGCAGCCUGAAAGCUUAGCAGAGGAGCUAGGUCCUGAGUUGCUGUGUGAAGAGCUGCCAUGUGAAGUUCUGGAUAGGGCAGUGAAGGAAGCUGUCUGUUGGAAGGGUGACCAUGGUGAGUUGGGAUGCAGAGGCAGGAGAAUUCCCCAGAGGUCAAGGGCCAGCUAUUCUGACAUUCGCAGGAGCAAGCAACAAGAAUCUCUCAAAACAAUAUGGAAGCCCUAAGAGUCACAGUUGGCUCACAGUGGACUCUGGCAUCCUGAGACGCUAUCUAGAGGAAAGAGGAAACUAUCUCGACCACACCAUUUCCAAAGGGCCAAAGUAGAAGAAAUGAGAAGACUUCAAGGAAGCUAGAGUUUACCAUUCAAGAGAAGCUGUUUCAGUGAUUAGAUGCCUCGCAGUACACAGAGGUAAUGUAACUACCACCCCUCACCAAAGAAGCAUCUCUUUACAGCAAAUGAAGACUAUCAGAGAAAACCACAACUGCACACAAUGCAGAGGUCAACAGAUUGUGGUGAGCCCAGCCCCUGCAGAUGCAUCUACAUCACAACUCUUGUAGCCGUCAGGGGAGAGACAGUGAAAAAGAUGAUUAAAGUCAGAAUACCAUGAGUCUGCUGUGAAACACUCUCUCCUAGAAAUGGCUUCAUGAACAAGAUUGGAACAACGACACUAUCAAUGGGUAUGUUAAUAAGGAAGGGGGAAACCUCAGGGGGUCCUACUCCUAGACAUAGAGCUACAGGCAACUAGUCUAAAUAUUUUAAAGGAAAAUUACAUAGGAUUUCAUUUUCACUAUUCACAAGUUUGUUUCUAUUAUACCCAAUGUGUGUCUUGGAUUUAUUUUAUUCUAAAACUUCUUCAUUUAACUAUAGGCAUCGUUCCUCAAUUCAGCCAGGAGUGUCAAUGAUAAAAACCAUGAACUACUUUGAUAAAUAAUCCAUUCUUCAUCUUUCUUUCAAGUAUCAUUAAAGUAUAUAAUAUCUA
Cricetulus griseus (Chinese hamster) is the source of this 1105-nucleotide non-coding RNA. Lineage: Eukaryota; Metazoa; Chordata; Mammalia; Rodentia; Cricetidae. The record is from RefSeq and is a predicted model, not a curated record.